GUCAUUUUUUCUUCAUCAUCACCA
Molecule: small nuclear RNA, 24 nt
Filed under: Arabidopsis thaliana (thale cress)
Lineage: Eukaryota; Viridiplantae; Streptophyta; Magnoliopsida; Brassicales; Brassicaceae
Description: snRNA_01103
Source: RNAcentral